Molecule: ribosomal RNA, 752 nt
Filed under: uncultured Actinomyces sp.
Lineage: Bacteria; Bacillati; Actinomycetota; Actinomycetes; Actinomycetales; Actinomycetaceae
Description: bacterial SSU rRNA
Rfam family: Bacterial small subunit ribosomal RNA
Source: RNAcentral
GAUUAGUGGCGAACGGGUGAGUAACACGUGAGUAACCUGCCCCUUACUUUCCUGGAUAACUGCUCGAAAGGGUAGCUAAUACGGGAUAUUCUGACCAGCCUGCAUGGGUUGGUUUGGAAAGGUUGUUUUUCUGGUGAGGGAUGGGCUCGCGGCCUAUCAGCUUGUUGGUGGGGUGAUGGCCUACCAAGGCUUUGACGGGUAGCCGGCCUGAGAGGGUGGACGGUCACACUGGGACUGAGAUACGGCCCAGACUCCUACGGGAGGCAGCAGUGGGGAAUAUUGCACAAUGGGCGCAAGCCUGAUGCAGCGACGCCGCGUGAGGGAUGAAGGCCUUCGGGUUGUAAACCUCUUUCGUCAGGGAACAAGGCACUGCUUUUUUGGUGGUGUUGAGGGUACCUGGAUAAGAAGCGCCGGCUAACUACGUGCCAGCAGCCGCGGUAAUACGUAGGGCGCAAGCGUUGUCCGGAAUUAUUGGGCGUAAAGAGCUCGUAGGCGGCUGGUCGCGUCUGUCGUGAAAACUUCCGGCUCAACCGGGGGCUUGCGGUGGGUACGGGCCGGCUAGAGUGCGGUAGGGGUAACUGGAACUCCUGGUGUAGCGGUGGAAUGCGCAGAUAUCAGGAAGAACACCGAUGGCGAAGGCAGGUUACUGGGCCGUUACUGACGCUGAGGAGCGAAAGCGUGGGGAGCGAACAGGAUUAGAUACCCUGGUAGUCCACGCCGUAAACGUUGGGCACUAGGUGUGAGGCUCCUUU